UCCCGCGCGGCCGCGGCCCGGGCCCAGCCCCGGGCAGACGCGCGCUCAAAAAGCAGCGCGCAAGGCUCCGGCGGCGGCGCCCGGACGAGAGAGUUCAGUCCAUGGUCUCUUGGCUUUGAGCACUUGGUAGAACAUCGUGUCAGAAAGAGCAGGAGGCAGAAAAUAUUUGUCACCUUGUUGGUGACAGAAAGCAAAGGAAAUGAACAAGAUUCAGAAUUCUACAUGACCUGCAAAGUUAAACGUUACUACUGCAAAUAAUGAGACUCAAGUGUGUGUCAAAGCCUCCGCAGACUCAGCCCCAGAUGCUUCACUACCAUGAGGAUGUCUCUUUAGCCUGCAUUCCAGAUGGAAACUUAUACAGGAUCAAGUCACAGCAGCCGACAUAUGGGUCAUGUUGUUUCUGCUGUAAAACCUGCUGGUGUUGUUGCAAUUAUCAUGUUGCUACAAUUACCAUGUGCUCUAGUUUAGACACGAGUUGUUCUCAAACAAGUUCUGUCGAGGCUUUCAAACCAGUGGCCAUUCUGGGAGGUACAUGCCAUUGAGAUGGAUUAAUGCAUUUCUUGCUCUUUCGGUCUGGAUGAGCCACUGUGAAAACUGGUGGCUAUGAAUUAAGCCUGGCACCUUGUAUCUGGCACACACACCCUUCCACACAAUUUCCCCUUUAUGAUCUACAAUCAUAAACAGAGCCAUGGUGAGGCCCUCACCAGAACCUGAAUCUCUACACUUGGGCCUUCAGUACUAUGAGUUUUAAAAAAGGCCCUUACUGUAUAAAGUUCCUAGUCUUAGUUUUUUUUGCUUCAACGGUUACAAAAUAAACUAACUUACCUUCUAAACAUGAUAGAAAUGACAUGUUCUAUGUCAAAUAUACAAAAGCUGUUAUGAAAUGAGUGCGUACAUGGAAAAAUGAUGAAAAUAAGCCGAGAGGGCCAUGAGAUAUAAUGUCAUCUGAGCUAUCCGGAGAGGAGAAAAAUAGUUAAAAAUCACUGGGUAACUGAGGAAGAUGGACUGGAUGUUAGGGAUAUGGAAUGUGAUGUGAGAAUUGGCUUGACAUGGUGCAAUGCCUUUUGCCCAAGAAUAUGUAAAUAUUUCAGUCUAUAAAAUAGUCUGUUGGUGCAUGAAUAAUGAGUCUUCUGUUUGACAUGUCCCCAGUAAAUAUUUAAUGAAUUUCUGUUGAUCUUAAUAUCACUUUAAAUAACAUUUCAUGGAAAAUGAGUGCUGCCUCAUUAAAAUAAGGAAGGAAACUAGAACGGAGGGCUCUCUAUUAGAGAUUGUAACAGGAUUUUGGUUAGCAAACGGAUGAUUUAAAAACUCCAUGUUAUUAAAGCAAGGUCGCAGCACUACAAAUUGACUUGCUUCAUUUAUUUUGAAGAAUAAAUUUUAGCUUUCAUUAUUUGUGACACUUUAAAGUAUGACCAACAAAUUUAUUGCCUCGUUUGGAACAUUUAAUCAAAUCUAUGCUUUGAGAUACUUUGCUGUUAUUAAUGGAUACAGAUAAGUCAGAAAUGAUGUUUGUUGGAACUGGGACAUUUGGGAUGCUUAGAUGCUUCUUUUCUGUGUCCAGCACUUGAAGUGUUAUGUGUAUGUGAGUACUGUGCUGCAGUACCACUGUGUGGAUGUGAGUACUGUGCUGCAGUACCACUGUGUGGAUGUGAGUACUGUGCUGCAGUACCACUGUGUGUAUGUGAGUACUGUGCUGCAGU
This is a long non-coding RNA of Peromyscus leucopus (white-footed mouse), 1700 nucleotides long. RefSeq lists it as uncharacterized. The record is from RefSeq and is a predicted model, not a curated record. The transcript has 3 exons. Lineage: Eukaryota; Metazoa; Chordata; Mammalia; Rodentia; Cricetidae.